UAUACCAAUUAAAUGUUCCAGUCUUUGUAGUAGGGUGUGAUGGUCAGUGGUGUCAAACGCUGUGUGAAAAAACAUCAUAGUCAUAAUAAUUAUAAUGCCAAUAUUAUUUCAGUAUAGAAAUAUUAGGCAUGAUUUAGGCAUGUAUAUCACAAAACAGGCAGAACAAGAGAUGUAUUUAAUUGCUCAGGGAAGCACAAACACACACAGCAACUUCCCCUAUCUCAGUGGUAUGUUGGAUUGCACCUGACGAAGUUUGACAGCAGGCUGUCAACUUCUUUGGAAAUGGCCUCGAAAAGACAGCAGGAGUCAGGAGCAGAGAAAAGAAAAGAAGAAGCUGCGAGAUGAUGCCCAUGCAAUACUUGCAGAUGCCUGUCUUGGACCCUCGUCUCCUCCUCAGACCUGCCUCUUGCCUCAGUCAAUGCCGAAGCUGAGAGCCUAAAGGUGGUUGGUGCCCAUCGGUGGUGGUGUCCCCUUAUUGUGUGCUGUGUGUCGACCCCCCGUGUAACCCUCCCCUUGUGUGUUUGUGUGGUGGUGUGUGCGUGGAGGUGUGUGCACGUGUGACUGAGGCGACUCUCCCUUGGAUACCUCACUCCUGGUGACCCAUCUUCCUGCUGGUAAGCCUUAGCUUCAGCCAU
Molecule: long non-coding RNA, 635 nt
Organism: Acanthopagrus latus (yellowfin seabream)
Lineage: Eukaryota; Metazoa; Chordata; Actinopteri; Spariformes; Sparidae
Exons: 3
Source: RefSeq, a predicted model, not a curated record